Molecule: ribosomal RNA, 376 nt
Filed under: uncultured bacterium
Lineage: Bacteria
Description: bacterial SSU rRNA
Rfam family: Bacterial small subunit ribosomal RNA
Source: RNAcentral
AUACGUAGGGAGCGAGCGUUGUCCGGAUUUACUGGGUGUAAAGGGUGCGUAGGCGGCUCUGCAAGUCAGGUGUGAAAACCAUCGGCUUAACUGAUGGACUGCAUUUGAAACUGUGGAGCUUGAGUGAAGUAGAGGCAGACGGAAUUCCCGGUGUAGCGGUGAAAUGCGUAGAGAUCGGGAGGAACACCAGUGGCGAAGGCGGUCUGCUGGGCUUUAACUGACGUUGAGGCACGAAAGCAUGGGUAGCAAACAGGGUUAGAUACCCUGGUAGUCCAUGCUGUAAACGAUGAUUACUAGGUGUGGGGUGUCUGACCCCUUCCGUGCCGGAGUUAACACAAUAAGUAAUCCACCUGGGAAGUACGACCGCAAGGUUGAA